UCAGACGUGUCAUUUUUCCUAUUA
This 24-nucleotide microRNA is filed under the name Bombyx mori (domestic silkworm). RNAcentral describes it as "bmo-miR-3428". Lineage: Eukaryota; Metazoa; Arthropoda; Insecta; Lepidoptera; Bombycidae. The record is from miRBase by way of RNAcentral.